UACAGAGGGUGCAAGCGUUGUUCGGAAUCAUUGGGCGUAAAGGGCAGGUAGGUGGUUUAGUAAGUCGACUGUGAAAUCCCUGGGCUCAACCCAGGAACUGCGGUUGAUACUACUGAACUAGAGUGCUAGAGGGGUUCGUGGAAUACUCGGUGUAGCGGUGAAAUGCGUAGAUAUCGAGUGGAAUAUCAGAGGCGAAGGCGACGAACUGGAUAGUAACUGACACUCAACUGCGAAAGCGUGGGUAGCAAACAGG
Molecule: ribosomal RNA, 253 nt
Filed under: uncultured bacterium
Lineage: Bacteria
Description: partial 16S ribosomal RNA
Rfam family: Bacterial small subunit ribosomal RNA
Source: RNAcentral